This 22-nucleotide ribosomal RNA is filed under the name Jobellisia guangdongensis. RNAcentral describes it as "partial 18S small subunit ribosomal RNA". Lineage: Eukaryota; Fungi; Ascomycota; Sordariomycetes; Jobellisiaceae. The record is from RNAcentral.
CAUACCUAACCAGCUGCCUCGG